GAUGAACGCUGGCGGCGUGCCUAAUACAUGCAAGUCGAGCGAACAGACGAGGAGCUUGCUCCUCUGACGUUAGCGGCGGACGGGUGAGUAACACGUGGAUAACCUACCUAUAAGACUGGGAUAACUUCGGGAAACCGGAGCUAAUACCGGAUAAUAUAUUGAACCGCAUGGUUCAAUAGUGAAAGACGGUUUUGCUGUCACUUCUAGAUGGAUCCGCGCCGCAUUAGCUAGUUGGUAAGGUAACGGCUUACCAAGGCAACGAUGCGUAGCCGACCUGAGAGGGUGAUCGGCCACACUGGAAGUGAGACACGGUCCAGACUCCUACGGGAGGCAGCAGUAGGGAAUCUUCCGCAAUGGGCGAAAGCUUGACGGAGCAACGCCGCGUGAGUGAUGAAGGUCUUCGGAUCGUAAAACUCUGUUAUUAGGGAAGAACAAAUGUGUAAGUAACUAUGCACGGCUUGACGGUACCUAAUCAGAAAGCCACGGCUAACUACGUG
Molecule: ribosomal RNA, 497 nt
Filed under: uncultured bacterium
Lineage: Bacteria
Description: partial 16S ribosomal RNA
Rfam family: Bacterial small subunit ribosomal RNA
Source: RNAcentral